CCCUCCUCACUAUGUCAAACCUUGCUUGAUAAAUCGGCCUUGAUGUCAUGACCCAUAUCAGAGGUAUGCACAUAAACCAUACCUUGCUGGUUCCACUCAAGAUCUGUACUAGUGCUAGUCAUCAGUUUGCAGGGAGAAGAGAUGCUUGCCUUGUUUGUGUGUGUACGGGGCUGAUAAGUUCAUGCUGCUGUUGACUAUUUGAUUGUCUGGUGAUCCAGAUUACAUGGUGAAGAAGCUCCGUGUCGACAAGAGCAUCAUCCUGAAGCACUGCAUCCUCAACUACAAGCAGUACGGAACCACCAUGGCUGUGGGUGCGUAUGAUUUGGAUCUGCAGUAAAAAACGGUUCUUUUGUUUGUAUCUAGUCUUGACCAUGAAUGUAUAUUGUGAUCCUUGAUGCAGGCCGUAGGGUACCAAUUAUACUAUGGUGAUUUUCACGUCCACGGGUACUGCCUGCCAGCUGUUUGUUGGUCAAGAUUACAUGGUGGAGAUGCUCAGCGUCGACAAGGGCGUGAUCCUGGAGCUCUGCGCCCUCAGCUACAACAAUUACAGAAGCCCCGUGCCUAGGUUGUAGGUGCGUAUGAUUUGAAUCCGUUGUAAAGAUCAUUUUUUUUGUCUCUAGUCUUGACCUUGCAUGCAUCUUAUGAAAGUGUGACAGGAUACAACUUUGCGCAGCAAGAGCUUGUUUGAUCUAUAGCACAAACUUUCCUGAGUAUAUCUGUUUCUACCAUUGGAGUGUCAUUAGGCACUCAUUAUUCAUGUUGUCGAUUUUUUUUCUUUCCAUUGGUUAUAUAUAUACAGCGACUGAGCUUUUCUUCUCCCACCUUUUCAGGCAUAUCACAGAGGGAGGCAGCAAGGAGAGAAUCUAGGAAAAUGUGAACUAUUUUAUUUGUCCUUUGCCGAUGGAUGAAUUCCGUUUGGUACCAUGUUGUGUUGAUGCUGUUCUCGAUUUGUUAUGCAUUCGCAUAUGCUUGUUGGUGGCAAGACGAGAAAAGGCGGUCGUUGAAUUGGGUUGACACAAGUGGCAAGGCGCCGAAGAGAGGCGAGAUUCAGACCGGAAGCACUGUGUAAAAUGAGCUGGACUUGCAAAUUGUGUUUAGGCUGGGUGUUGUUGAACUCAGGAACCUGUACCUGUUGAAAAUUGAUGUCAUUUACUCGUUCAUGUAUGUAUUGCGACCAUGAUUGAUUUUCAGAAUCUCGGUUGAAGAUUGUCUCACGAAGUGAGCGAGUCACAUAUUGAAACCAAAGUUUUAAAUAGCGCGCUAAGCAUC
RNAcentral lists this long non-coding RNA (1269 nucleotides) under Triticum aestivum (bread wheat). RNAcentral's name for it is "long non-coding RNA (TAES_LNC026495)". The record is from RNAcentral. Lineage: Eukaryota; Viridiplantae; Streptophyta; Magnoliopsida; Poales; Poaceae.